This is a small RNA of Pseudomonas aeruginosa PAO1, 193 nucleotides long. It matches the Rfam family "Pseudomonas sRNA P27". The record is from Rfam. Lineage: Bacteria; Pseudomonadati; Pseudomonadota; Gammaproteobacteria; Pseudomonadales; Pseudomonadaceae.
CGGGUUUACUCCUGGAUGUUACCGUUUCGUCCAGCCGGGGCCGGACGUCGUUUUGGUGUCUGAUUCGGUAACCGAAUCGGGAGCACCAUCUGCGUAGGCUUGUGGUUUAAGGCUUGCGCCACCUACGGUCUUGGAUAGCCCCCGCCAGGCAGGGACCCCAAUACCUGUGCAGCGGGCAGAACCCGCUGCACGA